UACGUAGGGUGCGAGCGUUGUCCGGAAUUAUUGGGCGUAAAGAGCUUGUAGGCGGUUUGUCGCGUCUGCUGUGAAAAUCCGGGGCUCAACCCCGGACUUGCAGUGGGUACGGGCAGACUAGAGUGUGGUAGGGGAGACUGGAAUUCCUGGUGUAGCGGUGAAAUGCGCAGAGAUCAGGAGGAACACCCGUAGCGAAGGCGGCACUCUGGGCCGAUACUGACACUGAGGAGCGAAAGCGUGGGGAGCGAACAGG
This 253-nucleotide ribosomal RNA is filed under the name uncultured bacterium. RNAcentral's name for it is "partial 16S ribosomal RNA". It matches the Rfam family "Bacterial small subunit ribosomal RNA", at positions 524 to 776 of the family's 1533-position model. The record is from RNAcentral.